UCUGUUACCGCUUUUUUUUUCUUUAGUGCUUGCCAGUGUGUUACAUAUAUUUAUGUCACGUUAUCUGCCUUCUGUAGAGUAAUGUGCAUUCACUAAAAAUCCCUUUUACAGUGAUUAAGCCUAUGACAGCAGCGAGUGCCAGAAAGAAAGGGACCACUAAAUGUUAAAAACAAAUAUUUUAUUUAAAGGUUGCCCACCUUGCAUAGCACUUAACAGAGGAACUUCACUGCAACAGCAAAGUGGGCAUGUUAAGAUUUCUAAUCAAGCCUAGACAAGAGAUAUUGCAAUGUUACUGUACCACUGCCAAAACUGUAGCAGGGGUGUGCUGAGGCCCGAGCCCCCGGAGCGGUGACUGCUGCAGGUGGAGGAGGUGCAAGGCUGAGCAGGAGGCAGCUGCGGAGGAAAGCAAGCACCCUUCUGCAAGGUGGGCGGUAUUAAAGAACAACAAAUUCAACACUGCACGUGUACAAAUGAAACUUCAGCGAACUGCUCUUGUGUCAGCCAGGCUGGAAGUUUUACCAAGAUCACCUUCUUUCGGAGAGCAGUGAAAGCAGCUUUUUCCAGUUUAGAUAAAGUUGAUCUGGACUUGUCUGGUCCUCAACCAGUAAACAUACAGCAAAGGGGAACGUAUCGACUUGAAAAAUUAUUUAAGCUAAAUGGAGUUAUUUGCUUACACGGAGUAUAAUAUCAUGGUGGUAUCAAAAAGACUACCUUUGGAGCCUCACUUUUUGAAGUGAGGCCUGCAGGUGGCAUGCUGCUGGUCAUUUAGCCCCACAGGACGGGGAUUUGCCUCAGGUGACUCCAGUCAUGGAUGAAAUAGGUGACUAAUCACAGCUCAUCACCUGACCUGCUGAGAAGUCAGCAGAGCAAGGCUGCUGCAUCCCCAAGCAUGCCUUGUCUGCCCCAGCUAGGUGUACACCCCUGCCAGGAAAGAAAUAAGGAGGAGAGAACCUAUCUGAAAGACCGUGCUGAAAACCAAGAUGCUUGUUUUUCAACAGAGUUGAUCAGUCUGCUGAAAAACAUUGGAAAAAGGAAACGGGGAUAGCUGUGAGCACCUGAUGGCAUGGAAUAUCAACUAUAAGGUACGUGAGAGUCUGCUCUGAGGCAAGGUAUUGUGUGUGUAAGAUGAUUCUUGGUUUAGAUUUUGGAGGGAAAGCUGGGUCCACAGCCCAUUUCAUUACAUUGUUA
Molecule: long non-coding RNA, 1188 nt
Filed under: Anser brachyrhynchus (Pink-footed goose)
Lineage: Eukaryota; Metazoa; Chordata; Aves; Anseriformes; Anatidae
Description: lncRNA (ENSABRG00000013660.1)
Source: RNAcentral